RNAcentral lists this ribosomal RNA (497 nucleotides) under uncultured bacterium. RNAcentral describes it as "partial 16S ribosomal RNA". It matches the Rfam family "Bacterial small subunit ribosomal RNA", at positions 28 to 507 of the family's 1533-position model. The record is from RNAcentral.
GAUGAACGCUGGCGGCGUGCCUAAUACAUGCAAGUCGAGCGAACAGACGAGGAGCUUGCUCCUCUGACGUUAGCGGCGGACGGGUGAGUAACACGUGGAUAACCUACCUAUAAGACUGGGAUAACUUCGGGAAGCCGGAGCUAAUACCGGAUAAUAUAUUGAACCGCAUGGUUCAAUAGUGAAAGACGGUUUUGCUGUCACUUAUAGAUGGAUCCGCGCCGCAUUAGCUAGUUGGUAAGGUAACGGCUUACCAAGGCAACGAUGCGUAGCCGACCUGAGAGGGUGAUCGGCCACACUGGAACUGAGACACGGUCCAGACUCCUACGGGAGGCAGCAGUAGGGAAUCUUCCGCAAUGGGCGAAAGCCUGACGGAGCAACGCCGCGUGAGUGAUGAAGGUCUUCGGAUCGUAAAACUCUGUUAUUAGGGAAGAACAAAUGUGUAAGUAACUGUGCACAUCUUGACGGUACCUAAUCAGAAAGCCACGGCUAACUACGUG